Molecule: ribosomal RNA, 498 nt
Filed under: uncultured bacterium
Lineage: Bacteria
Description: bacterial SSU rRNA
Rfam family: Bacterial small subunit ribosomal RNA
Source: RNAcentral
GACGAACGCUGGCGGCGUGGAUUAGGCAUGCAAGUCGAACGGUAGGAUACCUUCGGGUAUCUGAGAGUGGCGAACGGGUGAGUAACACGUAGGUGAUCUACCCUCAAGAUUGGGACAACCCAGGGAAACUUGGGCUAAUACCGGAUGAAAGCAGCAGUGAUGUUGUUUGAAAGGUGGCGUAAGCUGCCGUUUGGGGAUGAGCCUGCGCUCUAUUAGUUAGUUGGCGGGGUAAAGGCCCACCAAGGCGAUGAUAGAUAGGCGGCCUUAACGGGUGGUCGCCCACACUGGGAUUGAGAUACGGCCCAGACUCCUACGGGAGGCAGCAGUCGAGAAUAGUCUACAAUGGCCGAAAGGCUGAUAGUGCGACGCCGCGUGAACGAAGAAGCCCUUCGGGUGUAAAGUUCUUUUAUUAUGUGAGCAGUGCUUUCUAUGUGAACAGCAUGGGGAGAGAGAUAUUAGCAUAUGAAUAAGCAACGGCUAACUCCGUGCCAGCAGCCG